CGCUCCAUUCUCCCACUUCACUUCCUUUCCUUUCGUCAUACAACAGAAACGAGAGCGAUCUCGUCGGGCAAGUUAGGUCGAUGAAAAUGGCGAGCUCGCGGGAGAAUCCCGGCAUGGGCAGCGAGAAUGCGGGAUCCGAGAGCGACGAGACUCCCGCGCCAAAUGGGUUGGUCGGCGGAGACGUAUCAAGGCGAAUUCGAAUGCCGAAUCAUUCACGGGCAGGUGAUCUUCAUGCUUGGUUCUUCAGUUUUCCGCAUUGUUCGGUUACUGUCGUAGGUGAAUUCCGAGGAUGCAAUGGGUCGCGGUGCCUUAUGCUGGUGACAGCAGGCAUUGUGUGAGCUUGACUGGGUGGAUAAUGCUGGAUGUUGGGAUCGAACCCUUUAUAUCGAACCGUCUGAUGCGUGCUUCGUGUGCCGGAUAGGCCCUUACCUUGUCAUUGAUCGGUCAUUUGUUCUGAAAUGAUGGAGCGACGGAAACUGCAGUUGGGAAAUGCCAGGGGGAUGAAUUAGACUUUGUUGCAGUUGGGGAAGAUUCCACUUCACAUGGACAAAGGGGCUGCCUAUGAGCUGAGCUUGCUGUAGUCAUGCCCGUCGACACAUGGAUAGUGCGUGUAUAGAGAUCAAAGUCAGUCGUCCCUUUGUAGGCAAGGAGACAGUUGCCUGAUAUAAAGUCAACAUUGUCUUCUCACUGGUUUUUUCUCUGAAGUCUAAUGAUGUUGAGUCAUGGAGGAUAUACAAUUUGACUAGAGAUGAUAUUAGCAGGUCAAUAAGUGGGAGAUUAGAUGAGUUGAGCCUCUCAUUGUCUUUCCUUUUAUUGUAGUAGUGACAAAAUUUUCUUCACAGCUUACUCAUGAAACUGCUGUGAUGGUCUAUCAGUUAUCAUUCAAGAUGUAAGAGCUCAGGUUCCUGCAUCUUUCCAUUAGCGACAAGGUAGUGUUUCUUUUGAAGCGGCAGUAUAGGGGCAGUGGAGUCUGAGUACCGAUUCUAGAAAGUGUUAAAAAUUAUAUCAAUACAGAAAGUCAUCUCUACCAACUCCAAAUAUCUGCCACUGUUUGCCAGUAUGCCAAUACUUGCUAUCUUUGGUAUUGGAGGUUGGGCAUAACUUUAUCAAGGAUAGCCUUUCAGGAAGAUAGAAUGUGGAAAACUGGAAAUGAUGUUCAAGCAAAAGCUGUGGAUAGCUGUCUGACUAUUUGAACUCGGCUAUUCAACAGUGACAUUUCGACUGGUUUCAGAUGCAAAGGAUAUGUGUAUUUGCUGCUUGAAAAACGAAUAGCCAGAAGGGAUCUUAUAUAUUGAUUUACAGUGAACAAGUAGAGGAGAACGUGUUUACUUGCAUUUGCCUGAUCGGGCUGCUUGAGCUGCAUGGAGGUUAUCAAUUCUUUGUCCUACCGAGAGUACAAGAAAAGUUGUUCUUAAGGGGGUCGUCAUUUUUAAAAGGAUGAUUAUAGUCGUGGACGUUUAUCAGAAAUCUGAUGAAUAUUGAUAUAGGAUGGAACUAUCUCUUUGGGGUACUCGAGUGUAGUUGACUGUAGCAGGAUAUUAAGUGCACAACAAUGAGCUUGCUAAUGAUGAAAGUAUUGGUUACAAGUGUUUCUGAUAAGGCCAUUAGGUGAUGUCUGUUGAAGUUGCUCCUUCAAAGUGUUGAGGCGUAAGAUGGUUCCUUUAGAAAUCUUACUUCUGUUUCUAUAAUGUUUUUGCCAGAUCAGACUUAUACUUGGCCAUAAUGUACAUGCUGUGAACCAGGCAAUAUGUGAGAAGACUUAAAGAGAGAGACGACUACAUCCACAAAGGAGAAGUUUGUGACUUGGUCCUUAACAUCCAACUCUCCACUCUACACUCCCAGUAUGUUGUGCUGUUCUUUUUGCAUGAUCAAGAGUACAAACAUUACAUCCGCAGAUAAUCUUUUUACAUCGGAGUAUCUGUAGCCAAAAUUUUGGGCUUACACCUAGAUAUCAUUUGGAUUUUUUCUUGUGAACUUGUGGCAAGUCUGUAUUUUUAUUGUCCAGCUGUUCAUAUCAAACUAACUGUUGAUAUUUAUCUCUUAGUUGUUCCGUUGACUCUGUAAUAUUUCUCUUGAAGCUUAAUGAGAACUGCCUCAUAUGUUAUUCAAUCAUUUAGUACGACAGGACUCUUCUUUUUCUGUUUUCAUCCAGCCACUUCAUCUCUUAUGUAACAGCAAGAAGACGGUCAAAUAUUUGGAACGAUCUUACUUUUCAUAAUAUGAUUCCUUAUAACUUGUCCAUCUGUCUUGCCUCGUUCCUUAUUUUAGAUCCUGUUUAAGGAUGUAUGAUUCACUUUUACUUGAUUGGGCUAUGGAGCUUCACAUAUGACGUUCUCCAUGAGACAAGAUUCAAUUCUUUCUUGAAGAUCACUUCGUAUAUGUCCAAAUUAUUUUGGACGUACUUGAGUUCUUGUUUGUUUCUUAUUUGCUCUUUUGCCUUUGUUCCUUUGCUCUUCUACUGGAUGCUGGCUUUGUUGUUUUCUAUUCUUUUUUCUUCUGUUUUUUUCCUGGAGAACGAAAGGAAUGGAUAAGGUGCUAGCCCCAGAAGCAGUGAUAUAUUAUCUUCUUUGGGUUACUCUUCUGCUGAAAACUGUUGGUAUAUCAGCUUUGAAGUCAUUCAAAUACUCUCUUAACAUGUGUGCUAUGUUAGUAUUUCCAUUCCUUCAGCAGCACUAUUUGCUUUCAUUGGUCAGAUAUCACUGACGAAUAUUGGUAGAUAUGUCAUUUGAGAAGUGUUGAUUCUCUGGAUAAUUUCCUCCCUGGAAGAUUUUGCUGGUGCUUUUUCAGCUGCUAUCAGUGAACUUGUUCAGAAAUGGGAGGCCAUGAACAGGGAUUUUGCAGCAGAAGCUUAAAGGAGGGGGGAGCGCCGGGGGGGAAGAGCAGAAGCAAAGGAAGGAAAGAAGGUUUGGCAAUGAUGAGGAUUGGAAGAAAGAAAAAGGUGCAAAAGGAAGGUUUAUUGAGAGGAGAUGAGAUGAGAUUCCCUGAUGGAAGCUGACACAACUGCUUGUCCGUGAGAAAGGUUUUACGCUGCCAACAAAAAUCUGUCAAACGUUUUAUGGGGAGAUGCACGGAAAUUGAUAAAGUUUGAAGAGGAAAAAAAGAGGACUGGAGAGGAAUGUGGGUAAUACUUCAGAACUUUUAUACUUCUAUUGAAGCAUCUUUUUCGGAUAGCCGUUGACAUUUCUCUCUUGUGUGCUUCGUUUCUUUUAUCUUUUUUUUUCCUCCUCAUCCCUUCUUCUCUCUUUUUCUCUUCUUUUCUUUGCCUCUCUCUUUCUUUUGGUUUUAGUAGUACCACUUUCUUGUCCCGGACCACCACCAUCACCAGCACCACUGGGCACAAAUUCACAUACACCAUCAACUUAGUUGCCUUUUUUAACUCACGCUCGCAUUACAGCAUUUUUUUUUAGCAGCCUCUCUUUACCUCCUCUUUAGAAAAGGUCACAUGUCCUUAGAUUUUCUUCUUCCGUUAUCCCUCUGGCGCUAUUUUCAAAAAUUCUCGAAAAGAAAGUGGGUGAUGAGGAAAAGAAUUUCUUGGAAUUGGUAAAUUCCUAGCAUUCAACAAAAAAAAAAGGGCUUGGAGAUAUAAAAGUGAGAUGCUUGGGAUAUCCAAAGCAGCCAUUUUUUUCCCCUUUUGGAACAAAAGGAGGUUAAUUUUUCCUUUUUUCUUGCAUUAUUGCUUCCACUGUGCUGGAUUGGGGUCGCGAGAGUGGACAUU
Eucalyptus grandis is the source of this 3715-nucleotide long non-coding RNA. RefSeq lists it as uncharacterized. NCBI's taxonomy places the organism in Eukaryota, Viridiplantae, Streptophyta, Magnoliopsida, Myrtales, Myrtaceae. The record is from RefSeq and is a predicted model, not a curated record. The transcript has 5 exons.